UGAACUAUACUUGUCUAUCUAGCAGCGAUAUUCAAGCGAGAUCCUCAAGGUGACGCUGAGGAAAAAUCAUGUACCACUAGCACACUCUCGAGGGGAAGUUCUUCGUCUUCUUUUCCUUCAAUGUUUACUACACGGCGCUUCCUAGAAUAUUGAUCUAAUAUCUCCAUUGCUUUCAUCACAGAUAUCGUCGUUUCAGAGUUCCUCCACAAGUUGAAAGAUAACAUAUGAUGUUUUCUGUCCGUUGGUACAAUUGAGAUGAGUGAAAACUCGUUCUAGUUCCUCUAACCCUUCUUCAACUGCUAAUUACCUAUCAGGUCUAUCGAAUCAUUGCGAGUUGUAGUUCAUUCGACAGCACUAUCCAUCGCGUUAAGCAUUUGAGUUGACUUUAGGUCGCGUAGCCUGAGCUUGGGUUUGUUGUUUGGACAAAUCCUCGUAAUGCACUCAAAAUUGAUUCUUGAAAUCUCAUCCACUAGUUUGACGAGUUUGUUUUGCUUAGCUUCGUCCUUGUAGUUCGUGCUAGUGUUCUCUACACUAGCUACGAGAAUAGGCAUGCGUACUUCUUAUGGAUCUAUAUUCAGGGACAUUUUAUAUAGGUUUCUACGCACUUACGAAUUGAGAGGAUAUAGGUCAAAGCUUUUCUAGGAAAAUUUCUAGGUUAUUCCUAUUUCGAGGACGAUGUUCAAAAUAAAUAUUUCAAAACCCGUAAUUCAAUAUCAUGAACUGAAAUAUUCCGAAAUAAAAUCAUAGCUGCAAUAAUCUUCAACAUGAUGAAUUGUAUACUGAACUUUCUCAUAAUAACUUGAAUAAUGAACUUGAACUUUCUGAUCAUAACUUCAAUUAUUGCAGCAAGUUUAACAUAAAUUCGGAAUAUAAACAGUUUAUACUCAUCCCCUUGAAAACUUUUAAAAUAACUUUUACCUUGACGUCGGAGCGCGUAGUGGUCGAAUGGCCUUGUCACACUUGACUUGAAACAUUUUAAGAAAAAUUUUAUUUUGCAGAGUCUACAGGAAAGUAGACCUGCUCUGAUACCAUGCUGUAACACCCUAAUCUAAUUAACGUAUUAAAAUAUGAAUGUACAUAAUUUUUGACAGCGGAAAUAUCAUAAAAUAAAGAUUUGGAUUUAUUAUCAAAUAAAUAAAUUUUUAAAUAAAAUAUUUUGAAAACACUUCAAAGGGAGCAAACCCUAAAAAAAUUAAACUUUUAAAAUAAUGUACUCAAAGGCUAACUUUGAUUUAAAAAUCGACAAUCAACCUCUUAUUUCAAAGCAUGACAUAAAGAUGUCAUCAAAAUAUCCAGGUAUUAGGUAAAACUUGUGCUAAGCAAAACUUUAAAUACUUAAAUUAGUUGAAAAUCAAAUCAACUACUUGAUAAAUGUCUUGAAUCUCGAUGCGCCCAUUCGACCUUCCACGCGUCUCCAACGUCAAAAUACCUGAAAUGUUUAAUAUGGGAUGAGCAUACAGAAUAUACUCAGUGUGGGAAACAUGCAAUAAUUGUCCACGUUAAUAAAAUGGUCAACACAUACGCACUGCACUGUACUGAUAACUGAAAUUCGCACGGUGGCAUACCAAGGACUUUAAAGUCCUGGACCCAUUGAGCAGGCCCCUGGCGAAUAGGUUGCAACCCUAACUGUAACAUGAAAUCGCAUUGUGGCAUACCAAGGACGGUGAAGUCCUGGACCCAUUGAGCGGGCCCCUAGCGAUAUAACUGAAUUUACAACACAUAUGGCAAACACAUAAUAUUAAAAUGGACAACAAUUAACCACGGCAUGUACUGAAAUAAAUCCCACACCUGAAACUUUGAACUUGAACUUGAAAGCUAACUUGAGUAAUUCAAUUAAAA
RNAcentral lists this long non-coding RNA (1839 nucleotides) under Salvia miltiorrhiza (redroot sage). Its description in RNAcentral is "long non-coding RNA (SMIL_LNC000620)". Lineage: Eukaryota; Viridiplantae; Streptophyta; Magnoliopsida; Lamiales; Lamiaceae. The record is from RNAcentral.